CAAAGGUUAAUUCCGGUGGCGGAUGGGCAUGCGUCGCAUUAGUUAGUUGGCGGUGUAACGGACCACCAAGACGACGAUGCGUAGGGGUUCUGAGAGGAAGGUCCCCCACACUGGUACUGAGACACGGACCAGACUCCUACGGGAGGCAGCAGUGAGGAAUAUUGGUCAAUGGGCGGGAGCCUGAACCAGCCAAGUCGCGUGAGGGAUGACGGCCCUAUGGGUUGUAAACCUCUUUUGCCGGGGAGCAAAGUGCCGCACGUGUGCGGUUUGGAGAGUACCCGGAGAAAAAGCAUCGGCUAACUCCGUGCCAGCAGCCGCGGUAAUACGGAGGAUGCGAGCGUUAUCCGGAUUUAUUGGGUUUAAAGAGUGCGUAGGCGGACGCUUAAGUCAGCGGUAAAAUUGCGGGGCUCAACCUCGUCGAGCCGUUGAAACUGGGUGCCUUGAGUGGGCGAGAAGUACGCGGAAUGCGUGGUGUAGCGGUGAAAUGCAUAGAUAUCACGCAGAACUCCGAUUGCGAAGGCAGCGUACCGGCGCCCAACUGACGCUGAAGCACGAAGGCGUGGGUAUCGAACAGGAUUAGAUACCCUGGUAGUCCACGCAGUAAACGAUGAAUGCUAGUUGUCCGGGGCGAUUGAGUUCUGG
RNAcentral lists this ribosomal RNA (642 nucleotides) under uncultured bacterium. RNAcentral's name for it is "bacterial SSU rRNA". It matches the Rfam family "Bacterial small subunit ribosomal RNA", at positions 202 to 842 of the family's 1533-position model. The record is from RNAcentral.